CAGCAGCCACGGUAAUACAGAGGGUGCGAGCGUUAAUCGGAUUUACUGGGCGUAAAGCGUGCGUAGGCGGCUUUUUAAGUCGGAUGUGAAAUCCCUGAGCUUAACUUAGGAAUUGCAUUCGAUACUGGGAAGCUAGAGUAUGGGAGAGGAUGGUAGAAUUCCAGGUGUAGCGGUGAAAUGCGUAGAGAUCUGGAGGAAUACCGAUGGCGAAGGCAGCCAUCUGGCCUAAUACUGACGCUGAGGUACGAAAGCAUGGGGAGCAAACAGGAUUAGAUACCCCCGUAGUCCCUGUCUCUAUACA
RNAcentral lists this ribosomal RNA (301 nucleotides) under uncultured bacterium. RNAcentral describes it as "partial 16S ribosomal RNA". It matches the Rfam family "Bacterial small subunit ribosomal RNA", at positions 509 to 808 of the family's 1533-position model. The record is from RNAcentral.